UGAAAAUAUGAUCAGAAUUGUUCUGUGUGUCAGGAGGCCAAAGGAGCACAAGAAAAGUGUUGUAGCUCCACUUAUCCAUAUCACGAGAAUUAGCAUAUUUUGAAGCAAAUUAGCAAUCAGUCCAUCAUCCAUUGGCAUUGUACUUUGAAGGGUGGAGAGUUAAUACCCAAUUUUUGUUUUUUUGAUUCAGGGAUCCCCAUAGACAAGAAACUACUUGUUUCUGACCUUUUUUUGGGUUUUCUUUUUAUAUGUGUACAGCCUAGGAUUGUUUCAUG
Molecule: unclassified non-coding RNA, 275 nt
Filed under: Hevea brasiliensis (rubber tree)
Lineage: Eukaryota; Viridiplantae; Streptophyta; Magnoliopsida; Malpighiales; Euphorbiaceae
Source: RNAcentral